This 243-nucleotide ribosomal RNA is filed under the name uncultured Pseudaminobacter sp. RNAcentral describes it as "partial 16S ribosomal RNA". It matches the Rfam family "Bacterial small subunit ribosomal RNA", at positions 505 to 745 of the family's 1533-position model. The record is from RNAcentral. Lineage: Bacteria; Pseudomonadati; Pseudomonadota; Alphaproteobacteria; Hyphomicrobiales; Phyllobacteriaceae.
GUGCCAGCAGCUGCGGUAAUACGAAGGGGGCUAGCGUUGUUCGGAAUUACUGGGCGUAAAGCGCACGUAGGCGGAUCGGUCAGUUAGGGGUGAAAUCCCAGGGCUCAACCCUGGAAUUGCCUUUAAUACUGCUGGUCUUGAGUUCGAGAGGGGUGAGGUGGAAUUCCGAGUGUAGAGGUGAAAUUCGUAGAUAUUCGGAGGAACACCAGUGGCGAAGGCGGCUCACGUGGCUCGAUACUGACG